Long non-coding RNA from Melospiza georgiana, 1259 nucleotides. RefSeq lists it as uncharacterized. Lineage: Eukaryota; Metazoa; Chordata; Aves; Passeriformes; Passerellidae. The transcript has 2 exons. The record is from RefSeq and is a predicted model, not a curated record.
CCAGAGAGAAAGAAGCACUAAGGCAGAAUUGGGGUUAUUUUCACAUCACCUGAUUCCAUCAUAGAAGGAGCUGUAGGACACCAGCACUCUGGAAAACUUCCAACAAAAUGGUAUGAAAGGUUUAUAUGGGUGCUGAGAUGUUCCAGUGCUUGGAUCAAUCUGUUUAUUUAAUGUGGGAAGGAGUGGAUUUCUAUUUUUGUCUGUUUUUUGGUUGUGUUACUUUAAGUUUCUGGAAUUUUACAUCAGCAGAGUUGAUCCAGGUAUAGAGACAGAGAAUCAUGAAAUCAGAAUGGUUUGGGUUGGAGGGGACCUUAAAUCCCAUCUUGUUCCACCCCUCUCCCAUGGGCAGGGACACCUUCCACUAUCCCAGGUUGCACCAUCCAACCUGGCCUUGGACAUUUCCAGGGAGGAAUUUUAAGAGAUUAGAUGAUUUUUAAGGUCCCUUCCAAUCCAGUCCUGUGAUUCCCUGAUUUUCUAAAAGCUCAUCAGAAACACCUCCACUCCCAGGAUUUUUAACGUGCUCUGUUCUCCCUCAGCCCCUGCUGAACCCUCUGACAGAGCAGGGCUUUAACCCCCAGCCUGCUGUGUCUCCCCAGUUCAGACAUCUCUGCAGAAGAUUAAGCAAGUUAGAGAAAUUAGCUUUGAUCCCUUUCUGCCAGCAUAGGAUUAUUCCACAUCACACUGGGUUUGAAGUUCACACCUAAUCCAGUUUUACACGGCCCGGGGGGACCGAGCUCGAGCUCCUCCCGGCUCUGUCUGCUGAUUUAGUGGCACUUCCUUGAUACUGAGAUUCAAUUUGCAUUCCCAUUACUGCAUCCCAUUCCAUCCUGUGCCAUCCCAUAACACUGCUGCUGCUGCUUUUGGGAUCAGCCUUCCCAAGGCAGAGGGAUUGUUACCCUCCCUGUGCUGUUUUGGGUGCUCACUCCAUUAAUAUACAUUGAUGUAUAUUUAAACUACAAACAUCUCUGGUGUCCUGUGUGGAGGUUUUCAAACUAUAGGAACAGAUCUAGAUACAAAAAGAAUUUGGAAUGUCCAUCCUGGAUCUUUGUGCACAGAAACAACUGGUGUGAAAUGAGAUUCCAAGAGCCACCUGUGCAGAGCUGAUGGUGAUCGUGGCAAAGUGGAGGGUCCUGUCCCCAUUUUCCAGAGAUUUGCUGCUCAGUCCUGAGGGGUUUUUAUAUCCCACUACAUUUUAUUUAUGAUAUUUGUAACCCCAUAAGUUUUCUUCCUAAUAAAUGUGUAUUUUCAGGUUGAAAAAA